AAUCCAUCCAAAAUUAAAUAUAAGCAAAGAGGAAUAAACAAAUAUGAAAGUACAAUGUAUUUGGUUCAAAUAUUGUAUCAAAUACAUUUGACAAGCAUAUGAGUAUAUAUCAAAUUUCUCGUAAUCUCCGCCUCAACUUCGAUUAAAGAAGGUCGGAUGCAAAUUUCUCGCAAUCUCCGCCUCUCUUCUCCGGACACUAUUAAACUGUCUUGUUCUCUUAUUUUUCAUGAGACAUAUUUUCGAUGGCCGAUUCACAAGUUCAGCAUGGCGUGUGGAGACGUAUCGAAAAUAAAGAGCAAAGAGUGAAUCCCCAUUAUUAUAAUUUUUUCAUUCCUUUUAAUAAAUUCAAAAUCAAACAACUAUAUCAAUGUACUCUAAAAGAUGCAACAACAAAACUCAAGUUCCUAUGUAUGCUACAAAGCUGCAUAUGAUGUUGUCGAGCUUUUCAUGUUAUCUAGGGGAAGAAAUAUCUAUCUCCAAUUUCGUCACAUCAAGAACUAACAACAAUGGAUCAAAUCGAAGCAGCAGAAGAUGUGGAAAAAAUUUAAAAGUCGUAACCCGAUUCGAACUAGGGUUAAUGCCAAUAUUCUCAACCCGGCUUGAGGAGGAUUUGUGAGCCAACGCAUGUAUAAUUUCAUUUUUCAUGCCAUCACUUACUGGCUUAAGUGGAUCUAACGCCAAAGAGAGAAACUCGAAGCCACUGGGUUCAUUCUUCUUAACUUGGUUCAAUCUUUGGAAGUGGUGUUAACAGUUCAUCACAGAGAAACUUUUCUGUUAUGCUAAAACCACAUCAUCAUGAUCAUGGAGGUGCUUUUGUUGGAAGUGGUGGAGAACAGAACCAAGCUCAACCAAAUUUCGAUUUUGUUGAUCGGUGUCUGGUGAACGAUCUUGUUGAAAGUGGCGGUAAUAAAAGAAAGGCUGGAGAACUUGUUGAAAGCUCUACUACUACUACUACUACUAAUCAAGGAAGUGGUGUUAACAGUUCAUCACAGAGAAACUUUUCGAGGUGGUUCAUGAACCAAACGAGGUGGUUCAUGAACCAAACGAGUCGAACUAUACAUAGCUCAAGUUUUACUCAUUUAUUUAACGAAUUAAUUUUUAACUUAAGUUCGACUCAUUUGAUUCAUGAGCCAAGUUUAACGAAUUAUUUACCGAACUAUUUUUGAGUUAGUUCGGUUCAUUGUUAACGCUACCAAAGCCAAUAAACCACUACCUAGACUAGAGCCAAUAAACCAGAAGAGAUGGUAAGUAUAUCAACAAAAACUUACACAUCCCUAUAUCACCUAUCUAUCUAUCUAAGCAAGCAAUCUAAGGGGAAUCUAUUCCAUUCAUAUAAAUGACACAUUUACGCACACACAUCAGGAAACCUUCUAGCAGUGAACCACUACAGAGAAGUGCAUUUAAUUGGCUCCACAAUUUCGUGCACGGUUGAAACCAGCAAAAGUUAUCAUGCAUAAGUGUUUUUCUUAUGCAUGGUGCAUAAGGCAGGGGCGCUAAUCCCCUAAGCGUGCGCGCAUCGUUACUUCCACGCGCCACUUCAUUUUAUCCUUUGAUUCUUGAUCAAGUAGCCUUAGUGCUUCCACCCUCCUAAUCAAGCAUGAUUCGUCUGAUUAAUCAAACAGCCCAGAUCAUCCCCCUGUUUUUUUUGUUUGUUGCUGUGGUAGGCCUUCUUGUGGGUUGGACCUGUAUUAUUUCAUACUACAUGCACCUCUCCUGCUUGCUUUAUGCACUCUUGUGAUGUUAUUUGUUUAUUUAUUUAUUAUCUUAUUUGUUUAA
This is a long non-coding RNA of Trifolium pratense (red clover), 1776 nucleotides long. RefSeq lists it as uncharacterized. The transcript has 3 exons. Lineage: Eukaryota; Viridiplantae; Streptophyta; Magnoliopsida; Fabales; Fabaceae. The record is from RefSeq and is a predicted model, not a curated record.